GAUGAACGCUGGCGGUAUGCUUAACACAUGCCAGUCGAACGGACUCUUCGGAGUUAGUGGCGGACGGGUGAGUAACGCGUGAGAAUCUGGCUUUGGGUUCGGGACAACCACUGGAAACGGUGGCUAAUACCGGAUGUGCCGAGAGGUAAAAGAGAAAUUGCCUGAAGAUGAGCUCGCGUCUGAUUAGCUAGUUGGUGAGGUAAAGGCUCACCAAGGCAGCGAUCAGUAGCUGGUCUGAGAGGAUGACCAGCCACACUGGGACUGAGACACGGCCCAGACUCCUACGGGAGGCAGAAGUGGGGAAUUUUCCGCAAUGGGCGAAAGCCUGACGGAGCAAUACCGCGUGAGGGAAGAAGGCUCUUGGGUUGUAAACCUCUUUUCUUAGGGAAGAACAAAAUGACGGUACCUAAGGAAUCAGCAUCGGCUAACUCCGUG
RNAcentral lists this ribosomal RNA (435 nucleotides) under uncultured bacterium. RNAcentral's name for it is "partial 16S ribosomal RNA". It matches the Rfam family "Bacterial small subunit ribosomal RNA", at positions 28 to 507 of the family's 1533-position model. The record is from RNAcentral.